UGUACCAUAGUGUUUAGCACUUAGAUUUUUGAUAUCUAAAGAUAUGUACAA
Molecule: transfer RNA, 51 nt
Filed under: Xiphinema pachtaicum
Lineage: Eukaryota; Metazoa; Nematoda; Enoplea; Dorylaimida; Longidoridae
Description: tRNA-Gln
Source: RNAcentral